GGGGAAGUGAGGGAGAGGAGGAGAGGAAAACAAAAGGAGAAACACAAGGAAAAAGGAGAGAGAAGAAGUUUGCUGCUAAAAAACAAGUUUUACAAAGAUGUAUUAAGACUUAAAAGCAAUACCCAGAGUUUGUUGAAAAGUGCUUUUAUGCUUGAAGAGGCUCCGCGAUCAGGGAACCUGUGAGGAGACACGUGUGUGUGUGUGUGUGUGUGUGUGUGUUGGAGGAUACACACGCAACCGAGACAAGAUGGCGAGCGAGAAGAUCGGAAGACUCCGGUCGUAAGGGCUGAAUCGACCAUCCCUUUCCCUUUCAGUGGAGAGUCUUCACUGUGGAUCCCAGUAAAGCUCUGGACUCACUGGCUGAGGUAGGUCAGGACCAGAGACUGAGAGCAGAGUCUCCAGGGUCCAGCUGUCUGUCUCUGAAGAGUGACUGGUCCAAAGAACUUAAUCCUCCACACUUCGGUAAAGAACCUGGACCCUCACACACAGAACUGAAGAUGAGUGUUUAUGAGGAGGAAGAGGACGGAGCAGAGUCUCCAGGGUUCAGCUGUGUGUCUCUGAAGAGUGACCAGUCCAGAUAUGAGCCUCUAAACUUCAGUAAUGAACCUGGACCCUCACA
This is a long non-coding RNA of Limanda limanda (common dab), 619 nucleotides long. RefSeq lists it as uncharacterized. The record is from RefSeq and is a predicted model, not a curated record. Lineage: Eukaryota; Metazoa; Chordata; Actinopteri; Pleuronectiformes; Pleuronectidae. The transcript has 3 exons.